This 2254-nucleotide long non-coding RNA is filed under the name Homo sapiens (human). RNAcentral describes it as "HSALNT0135706". Lineage: Eukaryota; Metazoa; Chordata; Mammalia; Primates; Hominidae. The record is from RNAcentral.
CUGUAACAAGUGCAGUGAAGAAAGAGACCAGCAAGAGAAUAAAUCUGAGAGACCUGAUCUAGAAUAGAGGAGGCCUCUCCCAGGAUGCAACAUUGAAGCUGAGACCUGAAGGAUGAGCAGGGCUGAGAUGGAUGAAGAGAGAGAGAAGCACAUAACAGGUCGUUGCUGCCAUGAAGUAAGAGUCUGUCUGGAAAUGAAGGCGAGCAGAGGCCACAAAGCUGAGACAUGGAGACAGAGAGAGUCCUGAUGUUAUUAUUUGAACCAUUGAGUCCAGCUGUGCCUGAAACUCUUCAGUGAGCCAAGAAAUUCCUUUUUGGCUUAAGCCAAUUGGAGUCGUGUUUGUGAUACUUGCAAAUGAAAGGAGUUAUUGACUAAUAAAACUGCCAUUUCUAUCUCUCCAAGAAUUAGGAAAUACUUCUUUAAAACUGUUUAUUUGCAGUAUGCUUUAUUCCUUCCCACAAAAAAGAGGCAGCUUAUAAAAGUAAAUAUGAAAAAUAGGCACAAAGGGUGUAUAAUACAUGAAAUACAUGUGUAUAUGUCUAGCACAGUCUUUAUAUUAAGUUGACAAAAAUUAUUAUUAUUAUUAUUAUUUUUGCAACAGAGUUUCACUCUUGUCACCCAGGCUGGAGUUCAAUGGCAUGAUCUCGGCUCACUGCAACCUCCACCUCCUGGGUUCAAGUGAUUCUCCAGCUUCAGCCUCCCGAGUAGCUGGAAUUACAGGUGCCCGCCACCACCAGCCCAGUUAAUUUUUGUAUUUUUGGUAGAGAUGGGGUUUCACCAUGUAGGCCAGGCUGGUCUUGAAUUCCUGACCUCAGGUGAUCUGCCUACCUUGGCCUCCCAAAGUGCUGGGAUUACAGGCGUAAGUCACUGCACCUGGCCCAAAAAUUAUUUUUUAAGUUACAGUACGAACUACUGCUGAGGGUGCUGGGUAAUUAACAUUGUUGGAGAAAUUAUAAACUGGUGCAAACCUUCUGGAGAUAAAUUUGACAAUGCUUAUUCAUAUCCAUUGUUUGUCUAUAAUCAACCAUUCUUCUUUUAGGAAUGCAUCUGAAAGAAAUAAUUACAUAAAUAAGGAGAUAUGCAAAGAUUUAGCUAUGAGAAUGAUUGUUUAAUCACCAGAAGUUGGAAAACAGCCUGAAUAUCCAAUGACAUAAAAACAAAAUUGGCGGGGCGCGGUGGCUCACGCCUGUAAUCCCAGCACUUUGGGAGGCCGAGGCGGGCGGAUCACAAGGUCAGAGAUCGAGACCAUCCUGGCUAAGACGGUGAAACCCCAUCUCUACUAAAAAUCAAAAAAUUAGCCGGGCCUGGUGGCGGGUGUCUGUAGUCCCAGCUACUUGGGAGGCUGAGGCAGGAGAAUGGCCUGAACCCAGGAGGCGGAGCUGGCAGUGAGCCGAGAUGAUGCCACUGCACUCCAGCCUGGGCGACAGAGAGAGACUCUGUCUCAAAAAAAAAAAAAAAAAAUUAUCUGUCCACCAAUUGGAAUACCAUGUAUUUAUUAAAAUAAUGAUGUGGAAUUUUAUUUACUGACUUGGAACAAUAUUCAUAUAUUGUGAACUGGCUUUGGACUAAUACAUUUAAAUUCUCCCUAGGCUGACUGGGCGCGGUGGUCCGUGCCUGUAAUCCCAGCACUAUGGGAGGCUGAGACGGGUGGAUCACUUGAGAGCAGGAAUUUGAGACCAGCCUGGCCAAGAUGGUGAAACUCCAUCUCUACAAAAAUACAAAAAUUAGCCAGGCAUGGUGGCAUGCACCUGUAAUCCCAGCUACUCAGGAGGCUGAGGCAGGAGAAUCGCUUGAACCCGGGAGGUGGAGGUUGCAGUGAGCCGAGAUUGCACCACUGCACUCCACCGUGGGUGACAGAGUGAGAUGCUGUCUCAAUAAAAUAAAAUAAAACAAUUAAUUCUCCCUAGGCUGCAGCAAGAAUCGAAUGAAUCACUCUUAACCCCAUGCCAAACAAACAAACAAACAAACAAAAAAACCCUACUUGUUGGUUGUGGGCCUUAAAAAGAGAGCUGUAUAGAAGUGGCAAAAAUUAAGUUUGUGUAUCCUUGCUUGGGUCAAAUUUGGCUGUCCAUAGAUAUGAGGUUAAUUUUUUCCUGUUAGAGCAUGUGCUGGUUCUAUCUAUACAUGCUCCAAUUUUCAAAUAUUUCACUAAUAUUAGGAGAUUAUCUGUUGGCAUUGAGUUGGGUCUCAAAGUAUCAUCUAUUCUAGACCAAUGGUCACCAAAAUGUAUGUAUCCUCAAAAUAAAGCACUGGU